ACUUGCUCCACGCGUUGGGAGCUCUCCCAUAUGGUCGACCUGCAGGCGGCCGCACUANUGAUUCCUACGGGAGGCAGCAGUAGGGAAUCUUCCACAAUGGCACGAAAGUCUGAUGGAGCAACGCCGCGUGAGUGAAGAAGGAUUUCGGUUCGUAAAACUCUGUUGCAAGGGAAGAACAAGUAGCGUAGUAACUGGCGCUACCUUGACGGUACCUUGUUAGAAAGCCACGGCUAACUAUGUGCCAGCAGCCGCGGUAAUACGUAGGUGGCAAGCGUUGUCCGGAAUUAUUGGGCGUAAAGCGCGCGCAGGUGGUUCCUUAAGUCUGAUGUGAAAGCCCCCGGCUCAACCGGGGAGGGUCAUUGGAAACUGGGGAACUUGAGUGCAGAAGAGGAUAGUGGAAUUCCAAGUGUAGCGGUGAAAUGCGUAGAGAUUUGGAGGAACACCAGUGGCGAAGGCGACUGUCUGGUCUGUAACUGACACUGAGGCGCGAAAGCGUGGGGAGCAAACAGGAUUAGAUACCCUGGUAGUCCACGCCGUAAACGAUGAGUGCUAAGUGUUGGGGGGUUUCCGCCCCUCAGUGCUGCAGCUAACGCAUUAAGCACUCCGCCUGGGGAGUACGGUCGCAAGACUGAAACUCAAAUGAAUUGACGGGGAAUCCCGCGGCCAUGGCGGCCGGGAGCAUGCGACGUCGGGCCCAAUUCG
Molecule: ribosomal RNA, 702 nt
Filed under: uncultured Bacillus sp.
Lineage: Bacteria; Bacillati; Bacillota; Bacilli; Caryophanales; Bacillaceae
Description: bacterial SSU rRNA
Rfam family: Bacterial small subunit ribosomal RNA
Source: RNAcentral